UUACGGCCAUAUCACGUUGAAACACCAGUUCUCGUACGAUGACCUAAGUUAAGCAACGUUGAGCAUGGCCAGUACCUAGAUGGGUGAACGCUUGGGAAUAACAGGUGCUGCAA
Non-coding RNA from Acanthosepion pharaonis, 113 nucleotides. Lineage: Eukaryota; Metazoa; Mollusca; Cephalopoda; Sepiida; Sepiidae. The record is from the annotation of a GenBank genome assembly.